Molecule: long non-coding RNA, 1073 nt
Organism: Zonotrichia leucophrys gambelii
Lineage: Eukaryota; Metazoa; Chordata; Aves; Passeriformes; Passerellidae
Exons: 2
Source: RefSeq, a predicted model, not a curated record
GACAGUCCCACCCCAGGGGCGUGCCCAUGAAGGCCCAGGGGGUUAUAAGCCAGAGCACAAGACCAGUCUGUGGUUUGGAUUAUGUUUUCUCCUGGUGUUUUUGUGUUGGCAUUACUGGAAGCUGAGCAGUUGGUACCUAUUUCAGAGAAGAGCUGAUAGAAGCAUUCCCCAGGUAACCUUGAUGCUGAAUGUCUCCUUAGGAGGUCUGGGCACAGAGAAGAAUGAGCCCCUUGAGGGCUGACCCUAUUUGGACAAGCUGCUCCUCAUCCCUCAGCGUCACCAUGUCUGACAUGGCCCAACUGGCACUGACAUCCCUGUGCUCUCCAGCAGAUCCAUGUCCCCUGAGCUCUGCAGCUCCAUGUCCAGCCCAUUGCACCAUGUACCACCUGCUCUCCUCAGGGCUCUGCCUGCACAUAGGGCCAGGAGAAGUUUUCCUGUGUGGAAGGAUGGCAUGGAAAAGCCUGGGCGAGUUUCCUGAACAGCAAACCCCACUCAGGAACCACCUGCUCAGUCCAGGCUGCCUGGAAUGGUGUCACCUUUCUCCAAGGGACAGUGUGAGCAGAAAUAAUCUCUGGAAGCAGAAUUCUCUGAGUCUCCCAGCUGAAUUCUCUAUCCCUGUCCUUUCCCUGGACCUGUGUUGCAGAUGGAAGCUGCUGGUGCCAUCCUCACCUUUAGCCUCUCUCUUGAAUGCAAACAGAUGUUCCCAGCUGUGUUAAGCAGGAUUUGCUCAAUGUUUCUACAAAAUUUUUGUCUUCCUCAUGAAAUGAAGGGACUAUUUUGGAACUGAGGGGUGACGUGGAAGCGAGGAGUCAGUUGUGACCCUGGAGUGCCAUGGAACCAAGGGGCCAUGGUGACACAGCAGGGCCACGUGGAUACAGUGGUCCAUUGUGACACUGUGGAUCCGAGGAGACCAUGGGACACCCCCAGGACCUCAUGGAACCAAGGAGUCCAUGGUGACCCAGCAGGGCUGCAUGGAGCCAAUGGUCCAUGGUGACACUGCCCAUCCAAGGAGUUCAUUUGGCCACUGUGGAAGCUCAUGGAGGGAGGGAGGCCAUUGUGACACUGAAGAACUU